RNAcentral lists this ribosomal RNA (492 nucleotides) under uncultured bacterium. RNAcentral's name for it is "partial 16S ribosomal RNA". It matches the Rfam family "Bacterial small subunit ribosomal RNA", at positions 29 to 507 of the family's 1533-position model. The record is from RNAcentral.
AGUGAACGCUGGCGGUAGGCCUAACACAUGCAAGUCGAACGGCAGCACAGUAAGAGCUUGCUCUUACGGGUGGCGAGUGGCGGACGGGUGAGGAAUACAUCGGAACCUACUUUUUCGUGGGGGAUAACGUAGGGAAACUUACGCUAAUACCGCGUACGACCUACGGGUGAAAGCAGGGGAUCUUCGGACCUUGCGCGAUUGAAUGAGCCGAUGUCGGAUUAGCUAGUUGGCGGGGUAAAGGCCCACCAAGGCGACGAUCCGUAGCUGGUCUGAGAGGAUGAUCAGCCACACUGGAACUGAGACACGGUCCAGACUCCUACGGGAGGCAGCAGUGGGGAAUAUUGGACAAUGGGCGCAAGCCUGAUCCAGCCAUACCGCGUGGGUGAAGAAGGCCUUCGGGUUGUAAAGCCCUUUUGUUGGGAAAGAAAAGCAGCAGGUUAAUACCCCGCUGUUCUGACGGUACCCAAAGAAUAAGCACCGGCUAACUUCGUG